RNAcentral lists this long non-coding RNA (582 nucleotides) under Ursus americanus (American black bear). RNAcentral describes it as "lncRNA (ENSUAMG00000025695.1)". Lineage: Eukaryota; Metazoa; Chordata; Mammalia; Carnivora; Ursidae. The record is from RNAcentral.
CCGGCUGCGGGAUUGCGGGGUCCGCCGCGGCCUCCGCUCCCGCCCGGCGCCCAACGUGGCCCCACCGCCGCUUCGCUAGGGCCGCGCCGCUGCAGCCUCCGGAGCCGGUGGGGAGCCCGGCGGGCGGGAGAGCCCGGAAGGAGCCCCGGGCGCCGAGGCCCCCGCCGGCGCCGGCGCCGACGCCGCCCGCCAGGAGCAGCCGGCCUGCUCCGGGUGACUGCAGCCGCGCGGUUCCGAGGCGACUCCUUCUCCAACAUGAGCGGAUCCCUGCCGCCCCCAGUGCGCGUAGCCCGGCAGCGCCUAAUGGAUUACUGCAGCCGCCCUGGCCGACCGCCGCCUCCUGCUCGGCAGCCUCCGGGUUCGGGACCAUGAGAGACUGCCGCUGCCUCCCCAGCUCGCACAGGUGCAGCUCCGCUGCCGCCCACGCUUCUGUUAACAGCUUGCAGCUAAUUAGCAGCCCGCCCUAUUAACAAGUUUCGGCGAGCAUCGCUUUCUGCUGGAACCAACCUGCUAAACACCAAAGCAAACGCGGUUCUCCUCCGCAGCCCAGCCUAGCUUAACCCGGUCCAGCCUGGUCCAACC